Chlorocebus sabaeus (green monkey) is the source of this 52-nucleotide microRNA precursor. Lineage: Eukaryota; Metazoa; Chordata; Mammalia; Primates; Cercopithecidae. The record is from Ensembl.
UAGCCGGGCGUGGUGGCGGGCGCCUGUAGUCCCAGCUACUUGGGAGGCUGAG